This 694-nucleotide ribosomal RNA is filed under the name uncultured bacterium. RNAcentral's name for it is "bacterial SSU rRNA". It matches the Rfam family "Bacterial small subunit ribosomal RNA", at positions 111 to 823 of the family's 1533-position model. The record is from RNAcentral.
UAACGCGUGGGCAACCUGCCUUACACAGGGGGAUAACAGUUAGAAAUGACUGCUAAUACCGCAUAAGACCACAUUGCCGCAUGGCAGGGUGGUAAAAACUCCGGUGGUGUAAGAUGGGCCCGCGUCUGAUUAGGUAGUUGGCAGGGUAGAGGCCUACCAAGCCUACGAUCAGUAGCCGGCCUGAGAGGGUGGACGGCCACAUUGGGACUGAGACACGGCCCAAACUCCUACGGGAGGCAGCAGUGGGGAAUAUUGCACAAUGGGGGAAACCCUGAUGCAGCGACGCCGCGUGAGUGAGGAAGUAUUUCGGUAUGUAAGGCUCUAUCAGCAGGGAAGAAAAUGACGGUACCUGACUAAGAAGCCCCGGCUAACUACGUGCCAGCAGCCGCGGUAAUACGUAGGGGGCAAGCGUUAUCCGGAUUUACUGGGUGUAAAGGGAGCGUAGACGGAGGAGCAAGUCUGAUGUGAAAAUCCGGGGCCCAACCCCGGAACUGCAUUGGAAACUGUUUAUCUAGAGUGUCGGAGAGGCAAGUGGAAUUCCUAGUGUAGCGGUGAAAUGCGUAGAUAUUAGGAGGAACACCAGUGGCGAAGGCGGCUUGCUGGACGAUGACUGACGUUGAGGCUCGAAAGCGUGGGGAGCAAACAGGAUUAGAUACCCUGGUAGUCCACGCCGUANACGAUGACUACUANGUGU